This 363-nucleotide ribosomal RNA is filed under the name uncultured bacterium. RNAcentral describes it as "bacterial SSU rRNA". It matches the Rfam family "Bacterial small subunit ribosomal RNA", at positions 60 to 450 of the family's 1533-position model. The record is from RNAcentral.
AGUCGAACGAAGUAGCAAUACUUAGUGGCAGACGGGUGAGUAACAUGUAGGUAUCUGCCCUUUGGCCUGGAAUAACACGAGGAAACUUGUGCUAAUACCGGAUAAGUCUUUACGGAGAAAGCUUUAUGCACCAUUGGAUGAGCCUGCACUUGAUUAGUUUGUUGGUGGGGUAAUGGCCUACCAAGACUGUGAUCAAUAGCUGAUUUGAGAGGAUGAUCAGCCACAUUGGGACUGAGACACGGCCCAAACUCCUACGGGAGGCAGCAGUGGGGAAUCUUGCACAAUGGAGGAAACUCUGAUGCAGCGAUGCCGCGUGAGUGAAGAAGGCCCUUGGGUUGUAAAGCUCUUUCGUCGGGGAAGAAA